RNAcentral lists this small RNA (131 nucleotides) under Salmonella enterica. RNAcentral describes it as "RtT sRNA". It matches the Rfam family "RtT RNA". Rfam says of the family: This family represents a bacterial cis-regulatory element known as RtT RNA. The exact function of RtT is unknown although it is thought that it may be involved in changing the cellular response in relation to amino acid starvation. The record is from RNAcentral. Lineage: Bacteria; Pseudomonadati; Pseudomonadota; Gammaproteobacteria; Enterobacterales; Enterobacteriaceae. RNAcentral also lists the same sequence under 33 other names.
AUAUCUCUCCGUACGGGAAGGAUGAGAAGCUUUGACUAAGGUUCGAUUCGAGCGCAGCGAGAAAGCGUUGCCGCAGGCAACGACCCGAAGGGUGAGGAGCGGAGCGACGAAUAAUCCUUCCCCCACCACCA